AUGAACGCUAGCGACAGGCCUAACACAUGCAAGUCAGGGGCAGCACAAGGAGCAAUCUGAGGUGGCGACCGGCGCACGGGUGAGUAACACGUAUGCAACCUGCCUGUAAGCGGGGAAUAACCCGUUGAAAGACGGACUAAUACCGCAUAAUACUAAAUUACUGCAUGGUAAUUUAUUUAAACAUUUAUGGCUUACAGAUGGGCAUGCGCAUGAUUAGCUAGUUGGAGAGGUAACGGCUCCCCAAGGCAACGAUCAUUAGGGGUUCUGAGAGGAAGGUCCCCACACUGGUACUGAGACACGGACCAGACUCCUACGGGAGGCAGCAGUGAGGAAUAUUGGUCAAUGGACGAGAGUCUGAACCAGCCAAGUCGCGUGCAGGAAGAAUGUCCUAUGGAUUGUAAACUGCUUUUGCAGGGGAAUAAAGUGCAUCACGUGUGAUGUUUUGUAUGUACUCUGCGAAUAAGGAUCGGCUAACUCCGUGCCAGCAGCUGC
Molecule: ribosomal RNA, 492 nt
Filed under: uncultured bacterium
Lineage: Bacteria
Description: bacterial SSU rRNA
Rfam family: Bacterial small subunit ribosomal RNA
Source: RNAcentral